This 433-nucleotide ribosomal RNA is filed under the name uncultured bacterium. Its description in RNAcentral is "partial 16S ribosomal RNA". It matches the Rfam family "Bacterial small subunit ribosomal RNA", at positions 29 to 507 of the family's 1533-position model. The record is from RNAcentral.
AACGAACGCUGGCGGCAUGCCUAACACAUGCAAGUCGAACGAGACCUUCGGGUCUAGUGGCGCACGGGUGCGUAACGCGUGGGAACCUGCCCUUAGGUUCGGAAUACCCCCCCGAAAGGGGUGCUAAUACCGGUUAUUGUCUCCGGCCAAAAGAUUUAUCGCCUUUGGAUGGGCCCGCGUUGGAUUAGCUAGUUGGUAGGGUAAAAGCCUACCAAGGCGACGAUCCAUAGCUGGUCUGAGAGGAUGAUCAGCCACACUGGGACUGAGACACGGCCCAGACUCCUACGGGAGGCAGCAGUGGGGAAUAUUGGACAAUGGGCGAAAGCCUGAUCCAGCAAUGCCGCGUGAGUGAUGAAGGCCUUAGGGUUGUAAAGCUCUUUUACCCGGGAUGAUAAUGACAGUACCGGGAGAAUAAGCGCCGGCUAACUCCGUG